CAUGAAGUCGGAAUUGCUAGUAAUCGCGGAUCAGCAUGCCGCGGUGAAUACGUUCCCGGGCCUUGUACACACCGCCCGUCACACCAUGGGAGCCGGUAAUACCCGAAGUCAGUAGUCCAACCUCGUGAGGACGCUGCCGAAGGUAGGAUUGGCGACUGGGGUGAAGUCGUAACAAGGUAAC
This 181-nucleotide ribosomal RNA is filed under the name uncultured bacterium. Its description in RNAcentral is "partial 16S ribosomal RNA". It matches the Rfam family "Bacterial small subunit ribosomal RNA", at positions 1319 to 1500 of the family's 1533-position model. The record is from RNAcentral.